GGUCUCGUAGCUCAGUUGGCAGAGCAUUGGACUAGUAUACCAAAGGUCGCGGGUUCGAUUCCCAACGUGGUCA
RNAcentral lists this transfer RNA (73 nucleotides) under Paramuricea clavata. It matches the Rfam family "tRNA". Rfam says of the family: Transfer RNA (tRNA) molecules are approximately 80 nucleotides in length. Their secondary structure includes four short double-helical elements and three loops (D, anti-codon, and T loops). Lineage: Eukaryota; Metazoa; Cnidaria; Anthozoa; Malacalcyonacea; Plexauridae. The record is from Rfam by way of RNAcentral.